This 327-nucleotide ribosomal RNA is filed under the name Triticum aestivum (bread wheat). RNAcentral's name for it is "partial small subunit ribosomal RNA". The record is from RNAcentral. Lineage: Eukaryota; Viridiplantae; Streptophyta; Magnoliopsida; Poales; Poaceae.
CAAGCUCGUAGCACUGCACGCGCCCCGCUUCGUGAGCACAGCCAACAAGCUUUUGAUAACUACGUACGAUGGUUUAUUGGAACUACUCGAGUUGAGAUAUGCCCACCGGCAUAUAAUGAGGAUAUUCUUGAAGAACCUGUAAACUUUGAGGAUCUAGCAAAGGGGAAGUACAACAGAGAUGUCAAGAAAGGGCACGGAGUCCCUGCUGUUCCGGUGAUUAACUAUGUGCGCACCGAGAUCAAGAAAGCAGCCGAUGAGAGCCAGUCUAUUCUGGAGAAGACACCGGUUGGAACUGGCAAUGAUGAUGGCUCACUACGAGCAUUCCUC